GUGCCUAUUAACCUUUUAUCCACUGCACUACCUGUACUGUCCGCCAGGUGACACCAACACAACGCCAUUUAAAUGUGUUCCAGGUGUUCCCUGUUGCGUCAGUGUGUACAGCAGCACCAGCAGCUCUCAAUAAUAAUAACGAAAAAGAGAACGGAUUACCAUGGAACCUGGUAUUCUGGGGAUUUGUUUCUAAAGAAGUGAGGACAGAAGAGAAGAGACAAACUUCCAGCCCUGGAACCAAUUAGAGCAGGAGGAGCCCCUCCACAAGUCCACCAGACACACUUUGGGUAUGGAGACCGAGGCAGGUGCCACUCUGGAGAAGUAAUCAACAGCACCUCUGUUCUAAGGUGAGAUGGAAAACUUUGGAGAGUGCUGAGUCACACUUGUCUGACAGACUGGCUUGUGAACGAAAUGUAAAGAAGUCUCAGAAUUCUCCUUUGAGCUAUUUCUGAGGUUUCGGAGGACAUUAUCAUAUUUGUCUUAAAGGCACAGAAGCAAAAAUGGAUUUAAGAGACAGAGAGCGGAUGUAAAAUGGACAGUUUGUAAUUUUCUAGUCUUAACUAAUAUUAUAAAUAGACUUAUAAUGCAAGUAAAAUUAACACUUUACAAUAAGGGUAAAUUUGACAUUUGUUAAUGCAGUAGUAUUCAUGAACUUAACACUGAAUAUAUUUACAGGAUUUAUUAAUCUAGUUUAAAGCGAAUUUAUAAAUAUGGUAUUGUUUGCAUUUUAAUUAAUUAGUUUGUGCCCAUUGACAAUACAUUCAUGUCCAUUUAUACUUUACUUGAAAUGUUUAAAAUGUAUUAGUAGUAUAAAUUAAUUAGUAAAAGAAUAUUAACCUAGAUUCAUAAAUUAUUUUGUUCAUGGUUUGUUAAUGAUGCAUAACAUAAUGCAUACACUAAUUUUAAGAAAUGUAACUUACUGUAAAGUUACCAAUUUAAAAAUGAGUGAUAUGUACAAUUUAAAGAAGGAUAUAAAUAUAUAGACAGAUAUAAAAAUAUAAAAUAUGAAUAAAAUAAAAUAGAUGCACUACUCAAGUUUAUGGUCGAGAUGACGUUUAUGAAAGAAGUCUUAUGCUCACCAAAAUACAAAAAAACCCCACAAAUAUUGUGAAAUAUUAUGGAAAUUUAAAAUAACUGUUUUCUAUUUUAAUAUACUUUAAAAUAUAAUUUAUUCCUGUUAUGCAAAGUGGAAUUUUCAGCAGCCAUUAGUCAGGUAUUCAGAGUCACAUGAUCCUUCAUAAUUAUUCU
RNAcentral lists this long non-coding RNA (1248 nucleotides) under Carassius auratus (goldfish). RNAcentral's name for it is "lncRNA (ENSCARG00000007593.1)". Lineage: Eukaryota; Metazoa; Chordata; Actinopteri; Cypriniformes; Cyprinidae. The record is from RNAcentral.